GACGAACGCUGGCGGCGUGCUUAACACAUGCAAGUCGAACGGAAAGGCCCUGCUUUUGUGGGGUGCUCGAGUGGCGAACGGGUGAGUAACACGUGAGUAACCUGCCCUUGACUUUGGGAUAACUUCAGGAAACUGGGGCUAAUACCGGAUAUGAGCUCCUGCUGCAUGGUGGGGGUUGGAAAGUUUCGGCGGUUGGGGAUGGACUCGCGGCUUAUCAGCUUGUUGGUGGGGUAGUGGCUUACCAAGGCUUUGACGGGUAGCCGGACUGAGAGGGUGACCGGCCACAUUGGGACUGAGGUAGGGCCCAGACUCCUACGGGAGGCAGCAGUGGGGAAUAUUGCACAAUGGGCGGAAGCAUGAUGCAGCAACGCCGGGUGGGGGAUGACGGCCUUCGGGUUGUAAACCGCUUUCGCCUGUGACGAAGCGUGAGUGACGGUAAUGGGUAAAGAAGCACCGGCUAACUACGUG
RNAcentral lists this ribosomal RNA (468 nucleotides) under uncultured bacterium. RNAcentral describes it as "partial 16S ribosomal RNA". It matches the Rfam family "Bacterial small subunit ribosomal RNA", at positions 28 to 507 of the family's 1533-position model. The record is from RNAcentral.